Phyllostomus hastatus (greater spear-nosed bat) is the source of this 1277-nucleotide long non-coding RNA. RefSeq lists it as uncharacterized. The record is from RefSeq and is a predicted model, not a curated record. The transcript has 3 exons. NCBI's taxonomy places the organism in Eukaryota, Metazoa, Chordata, Mammalia, Chiroptera, Phyllostomidae.
AGAAGGAGCCCAGCACAGUGCCUGGAAUUCAGCAAACACUUAAUAAAGGAAGAUCCUUUAUCUGUUCAAACAGGGCAGGUUGCGGGGAGAGCUUUCAUUUCUGAGCACUGCGUGUUAGAAGAUGCACAGGAGGAUGAUGGAAAAGAGCACGUUGUUACAACUGGAAAUAAACCUCUAGAAACUGCUGGUUUGACUGUUGUACAACUGUGAGGUGCGUGGAACGGCUGGCACACCUGACUUCCACAGUUCAAUCUCAGCUUCCUGACAAGAAGUGGCAAUCCGCUUUGUGACCAGCGGCAAGCUCCGAACUAUGAAGGUCCCAUCACCUUUGCUAUCUCGCUCCCUCCCUCUUUGCUUUGGAUGCCCCAAUAUAAGCUCCCACCUACACCAAAGAACUGCUACAGGCUGAUGCCUAGCCGGUCCGUGCCCCUGAUGCAGCCUGCACUGCGUGCAGUCAUGCAGCUCCACUGAGCAAAGUGCCUUCUACACACAUGCUUUGCUGUGUAAGAAAGAGAUACGAUUAAAUGAAUUACUGAGCUAAAUAAAUAGGUAAAAAUAAAACCUUAAGUGUGGAUGGCAAUUAACACGACAUACAAAGCAACUGCUGGCAAGUUAUCACCUUUGAUUAUCACAAGAGUCCCAGCUAACUAAGAAUGGUUUAGUUAGCCUUAUUUUUGAAGCUGGGGAAUUAAGACACAGAAAAGUGAAUUACUGAGGCUUGUUAACUUAGUGGUGGUGCUAAAAACAAGUAUACUCUCGCUUCUAAUUUAGUGUCUUUCCCAUGAUUCUAUCCUGCUUCCAGAAAUGACUAAUAGCCCCUUCAUUAUCUCUCUGGCAUAUACAGUUUUGAAGACGUUUAUUAAUGACUCCAAAUGAGUUCGCCCUUCCUAGCUGGCUAUUAGAAAAAAGGAAGGACUUGAAAUUAACGAAUGUAAUAUAGAAGAAGCCUACCUAUGGCCACAUUGAAGACUGCAGAAGCUAGCUGCCUUGGCCGCUUCAAUUUAAAAAGGACGAAAGAGAUGGGAGUGAGUUUGAAGGCAGCAAGGGGGGACAUAGGGAAGGGGAGAGGACUUUCAGUCCCAAUGCCAGACCCAUUUCUGUUCGGUUCCCUCAAACCCUGGGCUGCCUUCGGGAACUGCUGCGGGUUCAGGGAAGCUGAACUGUCAAGGUGGCUGGCCCUUCCCCAGUGUUGGCGACAGGCUGCUGAAGCAUGAGGAGGAGCAGCUGACUCCUCAGCAAGCUGUCUUGGGGAGGAGGGGUGACAUUUUCAAGGUGCU